Molecule: small RNA, 76 nt
Filed under: Xanthomonas populi
Lineage: Bacteria; Pseudomonadati; Pseudomonadota; Gammaproteobacteria; Lysobacterales; Lysobacteraceae
Description: sX9 sRNA
Rfam family: Xanthomonas sRNA sX9
Source: RNAcentral
AUGUACCACGCGUGCACUGCGGUUGCUCCGUGCCGUCCGCACCGACCUGGCGACUGCUCGUUACGUUUUGUUAGCC